UAGGGAAUCUUCCGCAAUGUGCGAAAGCUUGACGGAGCAACGCCGCGGGAGUGAUGAAGGUCUUUGGAUCGUAAAACUCUGUUAUUAGGGAAGAACAAAUGUGUAUGUAACUAUGCACGCCUUGACGGUACCUAAUCAGAAAGCCACGGCUAACUACGUGCCAGCAGCCGCGGUAAUACGUAGGUGGCAAGCGUUAUCCGGAAUUAUUGGGCGUAAAGCGCGCGUAGGCGGUUUUUUAAGUCUGAUGUGAAAGCCCACGGCUCAACCGUGGAGGGUCAUUGGAAACUGGAAAACUUGGGUGCAGAAGAGGAAAGUGGAAUUCCAUGUGUAGCGGUGAAAUGCGCAGAGAUAUGGAGGAACACCAGUGGCGAAGGCGACUUUCUGGUCUGUAACUGACGCUGAUGUGCGAAGGCGUGGGGAUCAAACAGG
Molecule: ribosomal RNA, 429 nt
Filed under: Actinomycetes bacterium
Lineage: Bacteria; Bacillati; Actinomycetota; Actinomycetes
Description: Actinobacteria bacterium partial 16S ribosomal RNA
Rfam family: Bacterial small subunit ribosomal RNA
Source: RNAcentral